RNAcentral lists this non-coding RNA (45 nucleotides) under Schistosoma margrebowiei. The record is from RNAcentral. Lineage: Eukaryota; Metazoa; Platyhelminthes; Trematoda; Strigeidida; Schistosomatidae.
AUCCAGCUGACGAGCCCUAAAUAAGACGUAACGCGCGUUCUGGAU